GUCCAGGGGCGGGAAUCGAACCCACACCCUUCUGCUUACCGGGCAGGUGCCAUGUCCACUAGGCUACCCUGGA
This is a non-coding RNA of Cordylochernes scorpioides, 73 nucleotides long. The record is from the annotation of a GenBank genome assembly. NCBI's taxonomy places the organism in Eukaryota, Metazoa, Arthropoda, Arachnida, Pseudoscorpiones, Chernetidae.